CAUGGAGACCUCCAACACCGCUCUCCACUACGUGCCUCUUCUCCUGCUUAAGAACCUGGACGUCUUAGACGAGCUGGGCUUAUGGUGAAUGUGAUUGGGGACAGUCAAGGGUCUCUGAGGCCAUGCUGGAAGGUUGUUGGGUGAUGAACGAAGACAUCUGUCCUGAUCAGUCUGAAAAAUAAAAAAUCCACCUCUGUAAGGAUUUGUAACUUAUAAUGAAGUUUUGCUGCCAACAGAGCUCUUUGAAAUUGACAAGGACACUACUGUGUACACCAUCCUGAGCUCUGUCCUCCACGACCCAUACCACUUUGAGAAGCCAGAUGCUUUCCAUUCUGGCCACUUCCUGGAUUUGGAGGGCAACUUCAGGAAGCAAGAAGCCUUCAUCCUAUUCUCCAUGGCUCUGCUUCCUGCCCCACUGGGGAGGGGGAGAAGGGAUGAAGAUCCCCUCAGAGUCCUUGCAUCCAGCCCUCGUCUCUGCCCACAAAGAAUCUGUGGAGGUCUCCUGACUCCUCCCUGUUCAUUCUACCCUGUGUCCCUGGCAACCACUGCUAUGAUUCUGUCUCUGAAAACUUACCUGUUCUGGAAGUUUCAUAUGAAUGGACUCAAACAGUUGUCCUGAAGAGGUUAAACCUUCACAAUGUUCCAUAACAUUCCGAAGUCAUGUGCCACUCCAAAAGCAUAAUGGCUGAGGUAUACAUAUCUGCGAACUGGUCUUCAGCCAACUGACAACCUCAAGUUAAAGUAAUUCAUUGUGGUUGUUGUGCUGAUUUUAUUUCUGGUAAAUAAGUACUCUCAAUUGUGCCCACUGAAGAAAUUUCUGCAUAUCCAGCUUGGUAAUGUCCUUCCUCAUCCUUUAAGUAAGACCUGUCUUUAAACCAACUUAAAUCAGCAUUCUCAGUAGGAAUUUCUUGUGAGUCAUUGCUAAGAGCAAGAAGGUAAUCUGUUAUUAAAAUACAGUCGUGGUCAA
Molecule: long non-coding RNA, 967 nt
Filed under: Equus asinus (donkey)
Lineage: Eukaryota; Metazoa; Chordata; Mammalia; Perissodactyla; Equidae
Description: lncRNA (ENSEASG00005027523.1)
Source: RNAcentral